AAUAGAUACCCUGGUAGUCCAUGCCGUAAACGUUGGGAACUAGAUGUAGGGCCUGUUCCACGGGUUCUGUGUCGUAGCUAACGCAUUAAGUUCCCCGCCUGGGGAGUACGGCCGCAAGGCUAAAACUCAAAGGAAUUGACGGGGGCCCGCACAAGCGGCGGAGCAUGCGGAUUAAUUCGAUGCAACGCGAAGAACCUUACCAAGGCUUGACAUAUAGAAGAACGGGCGAGAGAUCGUCAACUCUUUGGACACUUCUAUACAGGUGGUGCAUGGUUGUCGUCAGCUCGUGUCGUGAGAUGUUCGGUUAAGUCCGGCAACGAGCGCAACCCUCGUCCUAUGUUGCCAGCACGUUAUGGUGGGAACUCAUGGGAUACUGCCGUGGUCAACACGGAGGAAGGUGAGGAUGACGUCAAAUCAUCAUGCCCCUUAUGUCUUGGGCUUCACGCAUGCUACAAUGGCCGAUACAAAGGGCUGCGAUACCGCGAGGUGGAGCGAAUCCCAAAAAGUCGGUCUCAGUUCGGAUUGGGGUCG
This 531-nucleotide ribosomal RNA is filed under the name uncultured bacterium. RNAcentral's name for it is "bacterial SSU rRNA". It matches the Rfam family "Bacterial small subunit ribosomal RNA", at positions 777 to 1306 of the family's 1533-position model. The record is from RNAcentral.